This 253-nucleotide ribosomal RNA is filed under the name uncultured bacterium. RNAcentral's name for it is "partial 16S ribosomal RNA". It matches the Rfam family "Bacterial small subunit ribosomal RNA", at positions 524 to 776 of the family's 1533-position model. The record is from RNAcentral.
UACGUAUGGGGCGAGCGUUAUUCGGAUUUAUUGGGCGUAAAGCGUAAGCAGGUGGUCUGUUAAGUUGAGUGUGAAAUUUUUAGGCUUAACCUAAAACUUGCAUUCAAAACUGGCAGACUGGAGUUUGGAAGAGGAAAAUGGAAUUCCAGGUGUAGGGGUGAAAUCUGUAGAUAUCUGGAAGAACACCAGUGGCGAAGGCGAUUUUCUGGUCCAAAACUGACACUCAUUUACGAAAGCCAGGGGAGCAAACGGG